CCUACGGGAGGCAGCAGUAGGGAAUCUUCCACAAUGGACGAAAGUCUGAUGGAGCAACGCCGCGUGAGUGAAGAAGGGUUUCGGCUCGUAAAGCCCUGUUGGUAGUGAAGAAAGAUAGUGGUAGUAACUGGCCUUUAUUUGACGGUAAUUACUUAGAAAGUCACGGCUAACUACGUGCCAGCAGCCGCGGUAAUACGUAGGUGGCAAGCGUUGUCCGGAUUUAUUGGGCGUAAAGCGAGUGCAGGCGGUUCAAUAAGCCUGAUGUGAAAGCCUUCGGCUCAACCGGAGAAUUGCAUCAGAAACUGUUGAACUUGAGUGCAGAAGAGGAGAGUGGAACGCCAUGUGUAGCGGUGGAAUGCGUAGAUAUAUGGAAGAACACCAGUGGCGAAGGCGGCUCUCUGGUCUGCAACUGACGCUGAGGCUCGAAAGCAUGGGUAGCGAACAGGAUUAGAUACCCGAGUAGUC
Molecule: ribosomal RNA, 465 nt
Filed under: uncultured bacterium
Lineage: Bacteria
Description: partial 16S ribosomal RNA
Rfam family: Bacterial small subunit ribosomal RNA
Source: RNAcentral